This 205-nucleotide unclassified non-coding RNA is filed under the name Hevea brasiliensis (rubber tree). Lineage: Eukaryota; Viridiplantae; Streptophyta; Magnoliopsida; Malpighiales; Euphorbiaceae. The record is from RNAcentral.
AAGCCUUAAAGGAGCAUUUCUAUUGGCCAAGUAUGAUGAAAGACGUGCACAAGGUAGUGGAGAAAUGUGUGGUGUGCAAGAAGGCUAAAGGCAAGGAGAUGGCGCAAAGGCUGUAUAUGCCUCUUCCUCCUAAUCACUCAUGGGAACAUGUGAGCAUGGAUUUUGUGCGUGGUUUGCCCAUAACUCAAAGGGGCAAAGAUUCCAU